RNAcentral lists this long non-coding RNA (349 nucleotides) under Musa acuminata (dwarf banana). RNAcentral describes it as "long non-coding RNA (MACU_LNC011216)". The record is from RNAcentral. Lineage: Eukaryota; Viridiplantae; Streptophyta; Magnoliopsida; Zingiberales; Musaceae.
UUCACCUUAUCAGAGAGAUCAUAACCCGAGGAGAUGUAGCAGUGGAAAGAGUUCCAUCCGAAGAUAACAUUGCAGAUCCACUGACAAAGCCGUUGUCUCAGAUUGUCUUUGAGCGUCACAGGGGUCUGAUGGGGAUCAGACACAUAGGUGAUUGGCUUUAGGUCAAGUGGGAGAUUGCUAGUCAUAGGUGCCCAGCAAGCCAAUCACGUGAGUGAUGGCACGUGUGACUUGAUACAGAAUCUUUUUGCUUAUUAUAUUUUGGCGUAUAUCACUUUAUAACUAUUGCAUAAAUGCAUAUAUAUAUAUAUUGUGAUGUACUUGGAUUUGUGCAAUGGGAAUCGGAUCGUGA